UACCCGUAGAUCCGAACUUGUGUUCACUUGAACUCCACAAGUUUGAUUUUACGGGUUGA
This 59-nucleotide microRNA precursor is filed under the name Parasteatoda tepidariorum (common house spider). RNAcentral describes it as "microRNA pte-mir-100a precursor". Its record names the gene pte-mir-100a. It matches the Rfam family "mir-10 microRNA precursor family", at positions 8 to 67 of the family's 74-position model. Rfam says of the family: In this case the mature sequence comes from the 5' arm of the precursor. The extents of the hairpin precursors are not generally known and are estimated based on hairpin prediction. The products are thought to have regulatory roles through complementarity to mRNA. The record is from miRBase by way of RNAcentral. Lineage: Eukaryota; Metazoa; Arthropoda; Arachnida; Araneae; Theridiidae.